AUAUUCUGGUUUCUCUUCAGAUUGUAUAAAUAUUUUGCCUUUUACUAAAGAUUUCCAUGGAGAAAUGGUGUUAUGUUCAUUUUCCUCUGUCCCUCAUAAAAUGGUACA
RNAcentral lists this small nuclear RNA (108 nucleotides) under Neotoma lepida (desert woodrat). Its description in RNAcentral is "U5 spliceosomal RNA". It matches the Rfam family "U5 spliceosomal RNA". From Rfam's summary of the family: U5 RNA is a component of both types of known spliceosome. The record is from Rfam by way of RNAcentral. Lineage: Eukaryota; Metazoa; Chordata; Mammalia; Rodentia; Cricetidae.